Molecule: ribosomal RNA, 253 nt
Filed under: uncultured bacterium
Lineage: Bacteria
Description: partial 16S ribosomal RNA
Rfam family: Bacterial small subunit ribosomal RNA
Source: RNAcentral
UACGAAGGGUGCAAACGUUGCUCGGAAUUACUGGGCGUAAAGCGCGUGUAGGCGGACUGGUGUGUCGGAUGUGAAAUCCCCAGGCUCAACCUGGGAACUGCAUUCGAAACUGCCGGCCUUGAGUGGUGGAGAGGGAAGUGGAAUUCCUGGUGUAGAGGUGAAAUUCGUAGAUAUCAGGAGGAACACCAGUGGCGAAGGCGGGUCUCUGGGUAGUAACUGACGCUGAGGAACGAAAGCGUGGGUAGCGAACAGG